Long non-coding RNA from Cyprinodon variegatus (sheepshead minnow), 828 nucleotides. RefSeq lists it as uncharacterized. The transcript has 3 exons. Lineage: Eukaryota; Metazoa; Chordata; Actinopteri; Cyprinodontiformes; Cyprinodontidae. The record is from RefSeq and is a predicted model, not a curated record.
UGAUUGGGAUUUUUUUGUGUGAGAAUGUUUAUUUACUGUUUUGUUUUUUCAAUUUAUUGAUGUCAUGAUGAAAUAUCCCCCAGGCUAUAUAAAGUUAUUGAUAGGCUGACACUCACAGAAAGUGUGUGAACAGCAGCGAUGAGAGGAUUCCACAGAAUUGAGAGGUGUAAGAGACUUCAUAAUGGUGGAGCUAAAUUUACGACAUUUCUCUUGGCUAAUUCCUACCUGAUUUCACAAUAUGUAUAUUUAGCUCUUUCUGAUGUUCCCUCUUUGCUGUUGACCAACAGUGAAAAAUAGUUGGUUUCCACUUGUUGGUUUCAGGACUCCGCCAACAGAGCUGUGCAGUUUUUGCCGGUUCUGCACCCUUCUGCUUUCUCCGCAGGUGUCCGCAGUUGACAGGUGGGCCACCUACGGCUGGUUCAGCAGCCUCUGAUCGCGCUAUUAGAGCAGCAUAUGACAGCAGGAGGACGCCGGAGUGUUAACCAUAGCGGUUUCCUCUUGUGCCAAAUCCUAGUUCUGAGUCUCCACUAGACCCUCCCUUUUCACCUGGCUUCAAGCAAGGUGCUUAGAGUCUGGUUUCUCCUGCUACCUUGGAUCACAGGAAAGUAAGAGCUGUUCGGACCACCCUCUAACCCACGCCCAACUGGUCCCUCGGACACCUGCCACCUACUCCAUCGAUCUGCGCUGAGUCCGCUCCGUCCUCCCCACGUCCGGUGAAGUUGAAUGGGUCCCGGUGCUGUUGUUCCCUCAUCGUCUCCAUUGCUUCCAUUUUCUCUGGUUCAACUCAAUAAACAGUUAACUGAUCCCUGUUGCCGAGUGUGGUNCUGC